GCUUGCACUACCAUUAGCAGUUAAAAAUCCAAGUUUUCACUUCCAUUGGAAACUAGUGAUACUCCUUGAGACUCUUGAGUGUACUGAUGUUACAAUCUGUUCUUACCUUCUUUAGUUGUUGAGCAGUGAUGGCCUGCCAAAGUGGUUGCUACUACAUUUGUUCUUCUUUUUCACUUCUGUGUCGAUUCAUGUCCUUGGUAUUUGUGAUCAUUUGCAUUUAAUAAUAAUAAUUUUCUGUCACACAGUGAUGCAUGGAUUUCCUUUGUCUCAUGGUAGCACUUCUGUUCUUGAUAAUUUUCACGCUUUUGUUGUCAAAACUUUUAAUUUUGUAUUACCAAUUUAGGACCCGGUUGCUCCUCGGUUGGCUAUGGAGCUGCUUCUGAGCUGGGGCCUCUUAGAGUUGUUAGACAAGGAGCAGAGCUGAAGUUCAGUGAAUAUGCCUGGAACAAAGAGGUAACCUGCUAUUCUUGGAGUCUCCUGUCGGGGUUGGUUUCUCCUACACUAACACAUCCUCUGACCUUGACAGUCUUAAUGGUGACUUUGUAGCUGAAGAUGCUUAUAGCUUCCUAGUGAACUGGCUUGAGCGAUUUCCGGAGUACAAGGACAGAGAGUCCUACAUCUCUGGAGAGAGCUAUGCAGACCGCGGCGCGAUCAUUUCCGCUUCCACCAUCACCACUCGCCAGGCACGACGCGAGUCGCGAUGUCUGCACUUUUGCCUUCCGGACUUUGCUGGGCACUAGGCCCCCAGUUCAUAGUUUCGCACAGGGCCUUUGGAUUUGCCGGUACAGCCCUAAGACUAGUGCCAGGAGCAGUUCAGGAGAAGGAUACGAAUGUUCUCUGGCUAUGACCCAUGCUACUCGUCCUAUGCCGAGGACUACUUCAACAAGCAGGAAAUGCAGAGAGCAUUUCACGAAAAAUGUCAGUUGGUUGCCUCCAGGGAAAUGGCAUGUCAGCAGUAUUUUCAGUCCUACCAAUAUACUCCAAGCUCUUCAAAAAAGGUCUCAAAGUUUGGCUUUACAUGUGUGAAUGCACUCGACCUGCCGAUCAAGACCCAGUGGCAAUCCUGGUACCUCGACAAAAGGUUGCCGGGAGGUUCGUGGAGUACCAUGGCACGAGCAUGGUGACGGUCAGGGGCGCAGGACACCUGGUGCCCCUCAACAAGCCGCCGAAGGGCUGACGCUGAUCAACACAUUCCUUCGCGCUGAGCAGCUUCUGAUCACUGGUGAUGGAUGGUUCAAUUGGAUAGUGCAAGGUUUUGGGGGAAUGGUUGCAAUGAUUUUUGACCUGAAACCUAGUAGAAGUUGAACUCUUUAGCGGAUUUUUCUUCCGCUCCCUCCGUUCCAAAAUGCAGUUCACUCCUGACUUUUUUAUACAAGUUUGUGUUGUAUUCAUUAGAUCGACUAGCAGUAUAAAUCAGUGGGUAUUUCAUUGA
This is an RNA transcript of Panicum virgatum (switchgrass), 1432 nucleotides long. It is a transcript of the gene named serine carboxypeptidase-like 26, with no coding region annotated. The record is from RefSeq and is a predicted model, not a curated record. NCBI's taxonomy places the organism in Eukaryota, Viridiplantae, Streptophyta, Magnoliopsida, Poales, Poaceae. The transcript is spliced from 7 exons.